RNAcentral lists this ribosomal RNA (301 nucleotides) under uncultured bacterium. RNAcentral's name for it is "partial 16S ribosomal RNA". It matches the Rfam family "Bacterial small subunit ribosomal RNA", at positions 509 to 807 of the family's 1533-position model. The record is from RNAcentral.
CAGUAGCCACGGUAAUACGUAGGUGGCAAGCGUUGUCCGGAAUUAUUGGGCGUAAAGGGCUCGCAGGCGGUUUCUUAAGUCUGAUGUGAAAGCCCCCGGCUCAACCGGGGAGGGUCAUUGGAAACUGGGAAACUUGGGUGCAGAAGAGGAGAGUGGAAUUCCACGUGUAGCGGUGAAAUGCGUAGAGAUGUGGAGGAACACCAGUGGCGAAGGCGACUCUCUGGUCUGUAACUGACGCUGAGGAGCGGAAGCGUGGGGAGCGAACAGGAUUAGAUACCCCUGUAGUCCCUGUCUCUUAUAC